UGGCUGGAUUCUUGAGAGUGCACCAAUGAAGAUCCUUGAGAGCCAUGAGCUCACGGGAAUGACUCUGGAAUACCGCAGGGAGUGUGGGAAGGAGAGUGUGCUCGAGUCACUGACUUCGGUCUCUGCAGACUGCACCAAUGGCUCGCCCGAAACCGACAUUGAGUGUGAGCAUCUACUGAGGCUGGACUCGGGGGCUGAAAUCAUGAGGGGACGGACUCACUGGAGGCCCAAGGGUUCCCAGGCUCUCUCGGUCUCGGUUGCAAGCAUCUGAGCUCUUCAUGAAAUGGUCAUUACUGUUAUUGGCAGAUAUGGUG
This 314-nucleotide unclassified non-coding RNA is filed under the name Hevea brasiliensis (rubber tree). Lineage: Eukaryota; Viridiplantae; Streptophyta; Magnoliopsida; Malpighiales; Euphorbiaceae. The record is from RNAcentral.